CCCUUAGAUGUUCUGGGCCGCACGCGCGCUACACUGACGGAUUCAAAGAGCUUACAACCUUGGCCGAAAGGUCUGGGUAAUCUCCAAAAUCCGUCGUGAUGGGGAUAGAUUAUUGCAAUUAUUAAUCUUCAACGAGGAAUGCCUAGUAAGCGCAAGUCAUCAGCUUGCGUUGAUUACGUCCCUGCCCUUUGUACACACCGCCCGUCGCUCCUACCGAUUGAAUGGUCCGGUGAAGCGUUUGGACUAUGGUUUUCUGAUGGUCCGCCGUUGGAUUACCGUGGGAAGUUCGUUAAACCUUAUCAUUUAGAGGAAGGAGAAGUCGUAACA
This 327-nucleotide ribosomal RNA is filed under the name uncultured eukaryote. RNAcentral describes it as "partial 18S ribosomal RNA". It matches the Rfam family "Eukaryotic small subunit ribosomal RNA", at positions 1470 to 1796 of the family's 1831-position model. The record is from RNAcentral.